RNAcentral lists this unclassified non-coding RNA (346 nucleotides) under soil metagenome. RNAcentral's name for it is "partial contains 5.8S ribosomal RNA, internal transcribed spacer 2, and large subunit ribosomal RNA". The stretch from base 1 to 119 matches the Rfam family "5.8S ribosomal RNA", at positions 35 to 154 of the family's 154-position model. The record is from RNAcentral.
GAUGAAGAACGUAGUGAAAUGCGAUACGUAAUGUGAAUUGCAAAUUCAGUGAAUCAUCGAGUCUUUGAACGCACAUUGCGCCCCCUGGUAUUCCGGGGGGCAUGCCUGUCCGAGCGUCAUUGCUGCCCUCAAGCACGGCUUGUGUGUUGGGCCCCGUCCUCCGAUCCCGGGGGACGGGCCCGAAAGGCAGCGGCGGCACCGCGUCCGGUCCUCGAGCGUAUGGGGCUUUGUCACCCGCUCUGUAGGCCCGGCCGGCGCUUGCCGAUCAACCCAAAUUUUUUAUCCAGGUUGACCUCGGAUCAGGUAGGGAUACCCGCUGAACUUAAGCAUAUCAAUAAGCGGAGGA